Podarcis raffonei (Aeolian wall lizard) is the source of this 649-nucleotide long non-coding RNA. RefSeq lists it as uncharacterized. The transcript has 2 exons. The record is from RefSeq and is a predicted model, not a curated record. Lineage: Eukaryota; Metazoa; Chordata; Lepidosauria; Squamata; Lacertidae.
UCCUGACACACUGGUCUGUAUCGCUCCUCUGCCUGUUCAUUGUGCCUGGGGCUCUUCUGCUGUAGAAAGUGUGAUAGGAAUUUUGAGGUCUUAGAUAUAUGUUAAAUGUACAAAAGUGUACCAACCAAGCAUGUACAUAGAUCAGCACAGGAAGACCGACCUGGAACCAUUUUUGAUUCCCAAACUGUCCCAAACUGACCAAAUGUUUUCUCUGCAAGGUCAAGGAAAAUGGAAAAGCCUCCCCAUUGUCUUUUCCUUCACAAACCUAUCUUAAGGGUAUGUCUGUGUUUGAACAGGGUGAGCCUGUGACCUGACUCAGGAACUAAGUAUUUCUCAUUACUAAGUAUUUAUCAUUACAAAAGACUGGCCAGGCUCCCCAGGCAAUCCAAUCAAGUAACCUGCCAGACAGGAGAUAAACAACGACAGGAGAAAAACAACAUUCAAAUUUCUGUUUUAGACCGCCUUUUCUGUGAUGUAGGUAUGAUGUUUCUGGGGGUGGUCUUGAUCUACAGGGUGGCAAUUUCAAAAUGUCUAUAUAAGGCCUUGCACGCCAUUGUUCUGGGUUCCUCCUCCUUUCCUGCGUGUGAGGGGAGCACCCUGUUGUAACAGAUCAAUAAAGAUCAGGCUUACUAGCUGCUUUGCUUCUCAA